AUGUGCGUUGUGAAGGAGGAGAACCCGGCCGUGUUCCUCAAUGGCCACCUGCACUUCCUCUGCCGCUACGAUGGUGGCAUCCUCACUUUCAACGUCAUGGAUGAGACCUUCGGUUCCAUGCCACUGCCCCCAUAUCCUCUGGGGAAGGAUCCUCUCGGUCUCAGGACGACGGAGCUCGACGGUUGCCUAUGCGUCUUUGAUGCGGGCAGCGGCGACGGAGACGGUCUGUGCCAUGUAUGGCUGCUGCGUGAUUACGAGGCACAACGGUGGGAGCAGCUUUGUUGCAUCGACCGGGCCGCUUGGCCGGAGCCAGAGCGGACGCAGCUGGAAUCGAGCUGGAUAGCUCCUCUCGGCCUGUCUAAUGCUUCCAAUGGAUCAGACAAGAAGAUCAUGUUCGGCACGGGUACUUGCAUGGUGUUCACGGUAGACCAGAAUGGUGGUGGCGUACCAGAGAUUCUUUUCCGGCCUGACGAAGCCAUCGCCGGCAGUUUCAUUGACACGUAUGAUUUCCCGUAUGAUUUCCCGGCGCUUGGCCUGUUCGAGGAGAGUCUUGUGCCGGUAGGCCGCGACAUUGAGGAGAUGAUCUUCUCUUCACCUGUGACAGAAGCUUGGUACGACGUCCUCAAGUGGUUGCCAGCACAGUCCGUCUCAAAGCUCAGCCUCGUGUGCAGGGAAUGGCGCGCCAUGAUCACCACCGAUUGUUUCAUCCGAUCGCACGCCGCCGUCCACGCAACACGCCCGCGGAUCAAGUUUGCCAUAGACCCCUUGGUGGUUUCAUUCAGUGACCUGGAUGAUCACAUCAACAACCGGCUCUUCUAUGGCAAUGGCAUGCCAUACGAUAAUCCUGUCCAAUUUUCUCAACCAUGCCAUGGCCUAAACUUAGGGAGGUGGAGCUUUGGUGACUACCUAUACAAUCCUACCUUGGGCAUUAGUCAGAGAAUAGAAGAUGUCGAGAGAGAUGCAGUCUUUUUCGGCAGAUCUAUCGCGUUGGGGUUCGACUCCGAGGUGGAGGACCAUGUCAUGGUGUCACUUGCGUACGAGCAGAAGAACAUGGGAACGCGAGAGUACAAACUGAGGUGUGACGUGCGUAGUUUGCAAAGAGGCAAUUUCUGGUGCUCGUACGAUCCUCCACCAAGGCCAGUGGCAGUCAAUGUGCCGCCGGCCUACGUGAAUGGCAAGAUCUAUUGGGUGGUCGAACAUUUGCUUGCGCCAGAAUCCGAGGUGUGCGAACUCCUGGUGUUCGACGUCAUAGAUAGCGAGUUCGAGGUCAUGCAGGGUCCUUCAUGGAGCAGCCAUGGCAGCGGCCGUACGUCCAUCCUCGAGCUCUACGGUGCUAUCUCCAUGGCAUGGUGGGAUGACGACAGGAAUGCCAUUGACGUAUGGAGGAUGAAGGACAUGGACGGGGCUUGGUACGUGGAGUGUCGUGUCGAACUCGAUAAGUUCUCACCGCAAUACUCGUCGAGGGAGAUCACGCUGAUGUGUGCUGAUCCAAUUGGUGGACAGAUUUUGCUCAACACAGGGAGGUCGUUAGGCUACUAUAAUCCCGAGACGGCGACGCUUGAAACCAUCUACACUAGCUGUUGGUGA
RNAcentral lists this ribosomal RNA (1587 nucleotides) under Triticum aestivum (bread wheat). RNAcentral's name for it is "partial small subunit ribosomal RNA". Lineage: Eukaryota; Viridiplantae; Streptophyta; Magnoliopsida; Poales; Poaceae. The record is from RNAcentral.